Xyrichtys novacula (pearly razorfish) is the source of this 1976-nucleotide non-coding RNA. The record is from the annotation of a GenBank genome assembly. NCBI's taxonomy places the organism in Eukaryota, Metazoa, Chordata, Actinopteri, Labriformes, Labridae.
GGAUGAGGUUAUAAGUGGGUUUGGGUAGCAGGUGGAUGUUAGCACAGUGGGGGUCCAGAGAGGAAGCUCAGAGUGGGAGACAGAGUGAAAAAAAUGGAUGGUGAUGAAGGAGAAAGGGAGGGAGGCGUUGAUGCGGCGCCUCCUCUUGCCUUAUAGGGGGUCCAGCAUCCGCGUCUUGGCACCACGUUCUAAUAAAGCACAGAUGAGCCAAAGCUGUCAGGAUCCCGGUCCUGCCACUGAGCCUUAUCUUGAAAAUGCAGGUAAGUAAUGAAGGUGGUGUGGUGCUCUGCGUGGAGGAGGUGGACAAGAGAUGAUAGAUCUUAAUGAGCUGUGCUCUGUCUCUGUUUCUACCGUGAAGGGAUAUUACAUUUGCUCAUCUCUUUUACGAUACGAUAAUGAGGGAGAGGAAAAAGGAGGUCGGGAAGCUUCCUGCUGACCUCAAGUGUCUCCUUCUCUCCUCUUUUAUGACUCCUUAAAAUUCUUCCAAGUUAAAGACAAUGUCAGGAAACAUUCAGCUACAUCUACACUUACAGAUUAAAAUUGAUUUAAGAGAUGCUGACACCCCUCUCCCUCUGUCUUUCAUGCAAUCCUGUCUCCUCUUUUUUUUGCCUUGCAUCUGACGUUUCACAAAAUGUGCUGACAGCUGUGAUCCCCGCAGCUUUAACAACAGGUGUGGGGAGAUUAUUUAGAGUUUGAAAGCUUGCCCAGAUUCUGUUUUCUUCAGCAGAAAGAAGACAAUAGAAAACUGAGCCGAGAGUGGGAGGUGUGAAGGAUAAAUUAAAAAGUGAAAAGAAGGUUUGAAGUCUGAUUUGGUCUAGUUUUUGAGAUGUUGUAGCAGCAGCCAUCCUGCUGGACAAGCUCCUCCUUUAAACCUCGGAGAGCUGCAGAAAUGUCAGUAUCAGUGUGCUUAAGAGAGGAAGAUAAGAUCAGGAUUUAUGAGGACUGAAUAUAAACUUAUCUCCCUCUGAGACAGCGGGUGUUUUCUUGCUGAGGUAUCAGUUAUUUUCUCAGACAUGGCGAAUACUGACAUUUGUCACUAUGUGUGUUUUAAUAUCUCAGUAGUGGACAACCAAACCUCCAGCUGGAGAUCCAGAGCUGAGCUGUGAUUUCUUAACAUCUUCACUUCUGAUACUGAAUAUGCGAUUAUUAACUUUUGAUCAUUUCUGCUUUUCCAAAAAAAUUCAAAAACAGGAUUUCUGUUUGAUUUUGAUUAACAGCGAUUAUAUUAAUUUUCUCUUUUUAAAGUUUCUGCAGCAUCUGACAUAUUGCAAAAGUCGAUCAUGUUUCACCUGAGGGACCGAGCAGCAGUCGUAUGUCUUGUUGACUGCUAAAGCGUGGACAUGUGAGCUGUGGAGGUCUCUUUAUAGUAUGGUAACACUUCCCAGAGGAGCAUGUCAGCAAGCCAUGUUGGCCUCGGCUGACUCUGGCUGGGACAGUGAGAGACAGAGAUCUCCAGUGGGCCAUAAUCCUGCCUGAUAUGUGGUAAUUGUUUGGGGAACUGGAUAUCCUCUGCCUGUCACAGCAGCAGCCUCAGAGAUCCAGAGGCGACUGUACAGAAUGAAUAUGAAACACUGACUUACAGUCCAGAACCAGAACUGCAUUAAAUCAAAGCAAAUCCACUAUGGACCCCUUCUCUAUAAUUCAUAAAUGAAAGACUGUUUAAGUGUGCUUAUAGACUUGUACGUGACAUUAAAGCUCCUGUAGGGAGUUUUUUGAUAUCUAAUAAUAGACUGAAAUUCAUAUGGUCGCCUUUCAUGGUAUUGUAUUCCCAGUUAUUCCCAGUAGAGCUCUGAGAUCUACUGACUCAGGUCAGAUUGUGGAGCACAGAGUUCAAACCAGACACUUUUAAAUCCAGUUUAAAAACAUUUCUCUUUUCAUGUGCUGAUGGCUGAGCUCUUUUUAAUAGCUUUAAAAUUUAUCUAUUACUCCUGCUUUUAACUGUUUUUUUGUUGUUGUUUGUAAUUAUGCUGUUCUUU